This 72-nucleotide transfer RNA is filed under the name Camelus dromedarius (Arabian camel). It matches the Rfam family "tRNA". From Rfam's summary of the family: Transfer RNA (tRNA) molecules are approximately 80 nucleotides in length. Their secondary structure includes four short double-helical elements and three loops (D, anti-codon, and T loops). Lineage: Eukaryota; Metazoa; Chordata; Mammalia; Artiodactyla; Camelidae. The record is from Rfam by way of RNAcentral. RNAcentral also lists the same sequence under 1 other name.
GUGGGUAUAGCUCAGUGGUAGAGCACAUGCUUAUCAUGCAUGAGGCCAUGGGUUUAAUCCCCAGUACCUCCA